This is a ribosomal RNA of Danio rerio (zebrafish), 117 nucleotides long. NCBI's taxonomy places the organism in Eukaryota, Metazoa, Chordata, Actinopteri, Cypriniformes, Danionidae. The record is from Ensembl.
UGCCACAGCAGUUUCACCCUGCAGCCCAAGACCAGUCACUCACUGAAUCUAUGAAGAGCUGAGCCCUUUCAGUACCUGUAUGGGUGACCACAUGGGAAAAUAAGGUUGCUGUUGGAA